GCUACCAUGCAGUCGAACGGUAACAGGUCUUCGGACGCUGACGAGUGGCGAACGGGUGAGUAAUACAUCGGAACGUGCCCAGUCGUGGGGGAUAACUACUCGAAAGAGUAGCUAAUACCGCAUACGAUCUGAGGAUGAAAGCGGGGGACCUUCGGGCCUCGCGCGAUUGGAGCGGCCGAUGGCAGAUUAGGUAGUUGGUGGGAUAAAAGCUUACCAAGCCGACGAUCUGUAGCUGGUCUGAGAGGACGACCAGCCACACUGGGACUGAGACACGGCCCAGACUCCUACGGGAGGCAGCAGUGGGGAAUUUUGGACAAUGGGCGAAAGCCUGAUCCAGCAAUGCCGCGUGCAGGAUGAAGGCCUUCGGGUUGUAAACUGCUUUUGUACGGAACGAAAAAGCUUCUCCUAAUACGAGAGGCCCAUGACGGUACCGUAAGAAUAAGCACCGGCUAACUACGUGCCAGCAGCCGCGGUAAUACGUAGGGUGCAAGCGUUAAUCGAUUACUGGCGUAAGCGUGCGCAGGCGGUUAUGUAAGACAGAUGUGAAAUCCCCGGCUCACUGGAACUGCAUUUGUGACUGCAUGGCUAGAGUACGGUA
RNAcentral lists this ribosomal RNA (598 nucleotides) under bacterium fme09x52p59. Its description in RNAcentral is "bacterial SSU rRNA". It matches the Rfam family "Bacterial small subunit ribosomal RNA", at positions 48 to 653 of the family's 1533-position model. The record is from RNAcentral.